CUAGCUUGGGAGGAGGGCAGAGGAGCCGAGUGGAGACAGCAGGUAUUGUCUGGGUGGUUGGGGCACGUGGUCCAGGCCGCGGACACCGCUGAAGCUGGGCGGGAGGCGCAGGGCACCUAAAGCGGAAGAAUGCGCCCCGGAGGCGGGAAGGGCGGGGCAGAGAAUGCGCAGAACUUUUUCGGUAGAAGAGACCUAGCACUCGACGCGUCGACGACCCAAAUAUCGGGGUCCCUGACAGCCGCGGUGAAAUCUGGCGCAAAUCCUACGGGAGGAGAUGGACUGAAUCAGCCCCCCGCCCCGACUCCGAGGGGAGGUACUAGGGAAAAGCGGGCCUUGCGGGGUUCUCCGGCGAGAUCAGCUCCUUUCCCGAGCCUCUCGGUCCUAGCGCUCACAGCCUGCAACACCGCCGCUCCUAACUCAACUCUACCAGUCCCACAUCCUCUCUGGUUACGCACAGGGAGCAUCUGUGCAAAUGAUGAAUAAACGAGUGAAUAGAGAACUGGAAAGGACAGGGAACAUACCUGCUUCCCAGCCGCCCUCCAGGUCCUAAUUCCCAACCAAGGCGCUUCCAGAAAGAAACCCGGGUGCGCUGAGCACACUUCUGGUCCCACCUACUGGGAGCCUUCCAACUGGACUCUUCACACAGCAGCAUCGAAAGCUGGGGGAGUCCUGGCCCCAGGCUAGCCUGUUCUAGGUAGAUGGGUAGGGUCAUUCCCAAGAUGACUCAAAGAGCAAGAAGGGGAGGCAAAGACCCUUAGGAUAGAGCUGUUUCAGCCAGCACGAGAGCCUGGUCCAGAGCACCCACCCACCCCACACCUGGGCGGUGUUGGGGGUGCAGAUACCAGGGUGCUAAGGCCCUACAGGUGCUGCUGGGGUGGGGGCGGGGCAGCAGUGAUGGGGAUUUCUUUUAUCCAUUGCAGGCCAUUCCAGGACCUCCAUGCCCCAGUCCCACAAUCCUCACUGAACCUUGGGCCCAAUGAGCAAACAAACCAACUGUUCAUAGCCAGAGGCCUAAACACUAUGAAUGGUCAGUGUGUCCCUUCUCUGAGCCAGCCCAGAUUGCUUUCCAGCUAUUUCCAGCCUGGGAAUAGGAUUCCACAUCAUAAAUGUAACUAGGGAAAAAGUCGUUACCUUAAUCACUUACAAGAAGAUGUGUUUCUAAGGACUUUUUCUGUAUCCUAGUAGGUAGCCCAGAGCAAUAAUACUUUCAACAAACUGGAACAGAGCUUCUCCACAGGCCAUCCUUGGGCACUCAGGAGUCUCAUGAUAUACUACAAUAUACCUAGGGCUUGUUUUAGUCUGGUAUGGUAAGACAUGCAGACUUGGAAAUGAUUGUCAUGAAGGAAGAUAAUUAUACUGUUUCCCUAGAAGGCAGGGUACAACAUGAAGGGCCACACUGGGAAGCACCAGCAUAGGUCAGGAGGCAGGAGAGAGGGAGGGUACAGUGUGGCCCAGAGCCUUUAUUGGGGUUUCUGCAGGAAGGAAUGGGCAAUGCAGGGCAGGUACACUAAGUAAAAUUAGGGUUAGAUAGUUUGAAUAAUUUCAGCAAGCUCCAGGGUAGAAAUGUGAUUUCUAAUUGAUAAGUGGUUCUGGGAUGAAUUAGGGCAGGAGGAGCUUUGCCUUGGUGUGUGAGUUUGAUAAAGGAGAUAGUUGGGAGUGUGGGCUCUGGAUUUGUUGGCUUGUAUCAAAGCCUUGCUCUAAAGGGUUGUUUGCUAUUUCUAGGAAUGUCUUUUGGAUCUAGGCCUGCUUGGCUCCAAAGCUGGUGGGAGGAACCAAUAGACCCAAGGGCCUUGCACAGAAGCAGAAUUUCCCUAAUCCCCCGGCCUGAGAAGGUCAGGAGCUGGGAAUCCUGAGAACAAAAAGGGAGUUGGAAGUAGGGCCAAGAGGGCCUGAGGAGGUUGGUGACAAGGGCCUGUGUCCAGCACAGAGAGACCUUGUCCCCACCCCUCCUGGGCUGUCUAUUGGCACCAGGCUCUUCCUGAGGCCCCAUCUCCUCCCUCUCCUGUGUGACUCCUUUUUUCCUACUCAGGCCCCGGUCCCUCAAAGGCAGAGCCUGUGAUGUUUCCAUCCAUCUCUUCUGUGCUCAACAAGGAUCACAUGCUCAAUAGAAACCUGUUUGAAAGACUGAGUGAGUAACCUGAGUCAGUAAACUUAUUUUUCUUUAAAGGAACAUAAAAACUGAAAAAUAGGAUUUCCAAAAAUUACGUGGAUUUCCUGCACUCAGAACGGGAGUUCAAGUUUAAUUAGAAUGGAACUGAAAUACGGCUGAAGUGGUACUCAGAGAUACGCCUUUUACAAAAUUCACUCUACCAGAUGUCACUGAUACUUUUGAAUUCUUUUUCAGAGGAGAGCUGCUUCCUGUUAGUGUCCAUUUGAAUACUGCUGUUUAAAAAAAGUCAGGGCUCACACCCAUUGGGAUUGCUACUAUCAAAACAACAAAAAACAACAAGUGUUGACGAGCAUUUGGAGAAAGGGAACCCUCGUGCACUGCUGGUCGGGGUGUAGAAUGAUGCAGCCACUGUAGAAAACAGUAAAAAAAUUAAACACAAUUACUUUAUGACCUAGCAAUUCCACUUCUGGGUGAAUACACAAAGGAAUUGAAAGCAGGGUCUGGAAGAGAUGUUUGUACACCCAUGUUCACAGCAAUAUUAGUUACAGUCGCCAAAAGGUGGAAGCAAUGCAAGUCUCCAUGACAGAUGAGUGGAUAAGGAAAAUGUCCAACCAUACAAUAGCAAAUAUUACUCAACCUUUUAAAAGGAAAGACAUUGUAUCACAUGCUACAACAUUGAUAAAUUCAGAGGACAUUAUACUCUGUGAAAUCAGCAGUCACAAAAGGACAAAUACUAUUUUACUCCACUAAGAUGAGGUUCCUAGAGUAGUCAGAAAUCAUAGGGACAUAAAGUAGAAUGGUAGUUACCAGGAUCUGGGAGAAGGGAACAGGGAAUUGUUUAAUGGGAAUGGUUUCAGUUUUACAAAAUGAAAAGGGUUCUCAAGAUGGAUGGUUGUGAUGGGUCCACCGUAUGAAUACGCUUAAUACCACCAAACUGUAUACUUAAAAAUGGUUAAGAUGGCAAACACUGUGUAUAUUUUCCCACAGUUUUUUUUUAAUUUUGGAAAAAAGUCAGGGCUGAAAACUGGCUUUGUGCUUUGAAAAAGGGCACCUCUUCAAGUAUAUUCUUAGUUUACUCAGUGAGAAAACCACAUUUUGCAAAUACUUCGAGGAUUUUUGCUGACAAGAUCACCAGCUGAUGCUUUUCCACAGGCUGGAGGCAUAGGGAAACCUAAGCUUGCUUGCUUGCUUAUUUAGUUAGCUAAUUUAUUUAUUUUGAGAGGAAUGAGAGAGAGAGAGAGAGAGAGAGAGAGAGAGAGAGAGAUGGGCAAGGGCAGCUUGGAGCCUGACUCAGGGCUCAAUCCCACAAACCAAGAUCAUGACCUGAGUUGAAAUCAAGAGUUGGAUGCUCAACUAGCUGAGCCUCCCAGGCGCCCCAACCUAAGCUUUUAAAGGCUUUUUAACUGAUUACUCCAGACCCACCAGGAUACUUAAAAUCAGUUGAUUAGGUGCUUUAAUCACAUCUGCAAAAUCACUUCACAACAGCCUUUGGGUUAGUGUCUAAGUAUUAGGUAGGUGUGUGAGCUACAAAUGACCACCAUUUCCUUCCUCCUGCAUAGCCUGCCACUCAGGAAUUCAGCUGAAAGGGAAUUCUGGGGGCAGUUUAGCCCGGUGACUUGACACACUAAAAGUCAUUUCAAACACUAGAGUAAUCCUGUUUGUAAAAACACAGGCACACAUAGGCUGAAUAUUUGAAAUGUAGAGAAAAAAGUCUGGAAUGAACUACCCAGACUUAACAGGUGUAUGUCUGGGGAGUAAGGUGGGAAUGUGGGACAAGGGAAGAGGGAAAUAUUUCCUAUUUUUGUAUUGAGAUUUCGUUACUGUUUUACUGCAAAUAUGUAGUAUUUCUGUAACUUAACCAAAGUAAAGAAAGUGUUUUAUAAAAUCCUGGGGUGGACAAGGCCUUUCUAAUCACAACAAGACAGUUUUGCCCAUAGGGAAUAUGUAUUUUUCUUAUUAAAAACCUCAUAACUAAAAGCAAAUAAGGAACUGGGAAAAAAUAUUUGUAAUAUAUCACUUCCUCAAGUGUAUGACGCAGUUUCCAUCCCAUCUCUUCCAUGCUCACCCACCACCAAAAGACCUGUGGUUUGUAUCACAGUUGAAGAAACAGGUAUUAAGGGAAAGGGAUUGGAGCUCAACACAGAGGCUUAAAAACCUAAUAAAAAUAGGUACAAGAGCUUACAGGGAAUUUACUCACGAAAAGGCCAAGAAAUAUAAAUGAAAACAAGACUGGCAUUUUUCAUGAUUAAUCAAAUGGUUAAAAACAGUCCCUCCACAUCUGUAACCCUGAUGGGGAAAGUCCACCUCAGCCACAAGCAAAUGUGCACAGGUCUGCUACGGGGCCAACAAAUACAGUGAAGGUGUGAGGAAAGGACAGAUGUGUGACAGUAAGGAAGCUGCUACCUAAACCAGUCAGCAGGGACACGGUUCUAAGCAAAGUAAACCCCGAUUUGUAAAACAAAUACCAUACGUGUGCAUUAGAAAGAGUCAGGGGGUGGGGAGGCACCUGCGUGACUCACUUGGUUAAGCAUCCGACUUUGGUUCAGGUCAUAGUCUCGUGGGUUCGAGCCCCACGUCGGGGUUCUGUGCUGACAGCAAGAGCCUGCAGCCUGGGUUAGAUUCUGUGUCUCCCGACAAUAAAUAAACAUUAAAAAAAAAUUUUUUUUAAGAGGCUAAGGGGGUGCCUGGGUGGCUCAGUCAGUUAACUGUCCAACUCUUGAUCUUGGUUUUGGUCAUGUCUUGUGAUUCAUGAGAUCGAGCUCUGCUGAGAGCACAGAAACUGCUUGGGAUUCUCUCUCUCCUCUCUCUGUGCCUCCCCAACUCAUGUUCUCUCUGUCUCAAAAUAAAUAAAUAAGCAUUAAAAUUUAAAAAAAGAGGCUAAGAAAACACACCAAACAUCGCUGUAGUGAUCUCUGAAGAGUGAGACCAAAGGGCAGUUUUUUACAUUUCUAAGUUCUUGCAUUUCCCAAAUGUCCUAAAAUAAAUUUAUAUUUGGGGGAAAAAUGAUUAAAAAAUACACAUUCACUGGUAGCUCUCCUUGGGGCUGGCGGCUUCCUUUCUGGCACACCUUUUGUAAGAUGCUGUAGAAGCCCCUCAGUGUUCUCAGGGCUCCUGGGGUCGGGGGGCUGAUGAAGAAGAAGGGUCACUAAGAGAUGGCCCCUCUCACCAGCGGCCACCCAGGGAAGCUUCUCCCCAGUGAAUACCUUCUGCUGACAGGCCUGCUGAGGGAUCACACUUAGCCUGGCUGGGGCUCCCAAGGCACUGCCUGGGAGCCUGCAGACCCCACUCCCGAGUCCUGCUUCAGCCACCACUACCCCUCCAGCUUUGCCGUGGCUUGUCAACAAACCCUAGGUCUACCUGAGAGUUCCCAACACCUCCAUGGCAGGUGUUGUGUGGAUUCUAGUCCUCUGCCCCACUAGGUGGCUGGGUCCCCUGGCAACAGUCUGAUCUUGGUCAAUUCUAGCAACAAAUGAACAUCCAAAAAAAAAAAGCCAACAGAUUCCGCUCCCCUCCCCCCAUCACAAGUCAAUAUUUGGAAAACCGAGGAGUGGAAAGAGAAAACGAAACCCCCCCCACCCCCACCCCCUUGUGUUGGAGCCCGCGUGUGCCUCUAGGCGCAGACUUGGACGGUUUAGAAAUGCCGCCCUCCCGCGGGCAUCUGGGCUCAGCAGUUGUGGGGGGACCCGCUCUGGCUCAGCCUUCCUCACUGCCCUUCCCUCGGGCUGCUCGACCACAGCCCUGGCCCUGACCCUUCUCACAGCCAAG
This 5875-nucleotide long non-coding RNA is filed under the name Lynx pardinus (Iberian lynx). The record is from RNAcentral. Lineage: Eukaryota; Metazoa; Chordata; Mammalia; Carnivora; Felidae.